RNAcentral lists this ribosomal RNA (253 nucleotides) under uncultured bacterium. RNAcentral describes it as "partial 16S ribosomal RNA". It matches the Rfam family "Bacterial small subunit ribosomal RNA", at positions 524 to 776 of the family's 1533-position model. The record is from RNAcentral.
UACGUAGGGGGCAAGCGUUGUCCGGAUUUAUUGGGCGUAAAGAGCGUGUAGGCGGCCAGACAGGUCCGUUGUGAAAACUCGAGGCUCAACCUCGAGACGUCGAUGGAAACCGUCGGGCUAGAGUCCGGAAGAGGAGAGUGGAAUUCCUGGUGUAGCGGUGAAAUGCGCAGAUAUCAGGAGGAACACCCGUGGCGAAAGCGGCUCUCUGGGACGGUACUGACGCUGAGACGCGAAAGCGUGGGGAGCGAACAGG